GACGAUGGCUGGGGUGAAACAAAUAUGCACUCACAGACUUUAAAAAUUGUGUGUCUCUGCUUUUUUCCAGAAAUGCAUGUUAUUGGGCAAAUUGUGUAGACUGUCAAUGGAGUGACAGAAAGAUUUCAUCAAAAAUAUCUUCAGUUGUGUUCCCCGUGUCUUGUGGGGUUGGAAUGACAUGAGGACUACUUCCAAAAUUGUGUUUCCACAUCUGAGAUGAAGGCAGUGAAAAGAACGAAGUGGAAUAAGAAUAAGCUCUUCAAAAAACACAACUUCUCUGAAUAAUGUGGGGGAAGAUGUUUGCAUGAUUUGUAAAUAAACACUUUAAAUACA
Molecule: non-coding RNA, 333 nt
Organism: Pimephales promelas (fathead minnow)
Lineage: Eukaryota; Metazoa; Chordata; Actinopteri; Cypriniformes; Leuciscidae
Source: RefSeq, a predicted model, not a curated record